CUCAGUGAGCUCUGGAUACGCCUGAUCCCAUCUGAUCUUGAAAGUUAAGCAGGGCUGAAUCUGGUUUAGUACCUGUAUGGGAGAUGGGCUAGCAACUGGGA
Molecule: ribosomal RNA, 101 nt
Filed under: Monopterus albus (swamp eel)
Lineage: Eukaryota; Metazoa; Chordata; Actinopteri; Synbranchiformes; Synbranchidae
Source: RNAcentral